UAGAAAGGUUCAGAUUGAAUAACAGCAAAUUUUCUUUUGGAUCGCUUCACUGCGCUUCUGGAUAGACUGUGGCAAGCCAAGCUCAACUGUGCCUAGAACUAAUUUUACAGAUUGGAAGAAAAGGAUUCUUUCAGGUUACGGAAGCCCUUCCUGAAAAGAUCUGAAGCAUUAGGCAACUACAUGACCCUACAUCUACAGAUUGCUUUCUGCAGCAUCAAAAUGCACAAGAAUUAUUUUGGUCAGCAUUCACUUGCAACUGAAGGCACGAUCAAGGACUUUCUGACGCAAUGGGAAGUCACAAUACUUGACUGGCAACAGAAAUUCAGUAUAGUCUUGAAACGUACUUCAUUGGGAUUGUAUAGUUCUUCCAACAGUCAAAUAACUUCAAGAUACGGUGAUAUUACUUGAAGGGUUGCCUAUGUCACUGCUCCACCUCACAUUUUUUUCUGUCACCAUCCAUUUUCAUUGCUUUGCGUUAAUGUUAUACUUCAACUGCCACUUCUUUAUUUUCUUGCUGAAAUAAGAGAUAAUGCAUAAAUUCUAUGAAAAAGGAGUUCCUUUAUUUUUAAAAAAAAGGAUAAUUUUUU
This is a long non-coding RNA of Tympanuchus pallidicinctus (lesser prairie-chicken), 587 nucleotides long. RefSeq lists it as uncharacterized. The record is from RefSeq and is a predicted model, not a curated record. The transcript is spliced from 2 exons. Lineage: Eukaryota; Metazoa; Chordata; Aves; Galliformes; Phasianidae.